This 71-nucleotide transfer RNA is filed under the name Stegodyphus mimosarum. It matches the Rfam family "tRNA". Rfam says of the family: Transfer RNA (tRNA) molecules are approximately 80 nucleotides in length. Their secondary structure includes four short double-helical elements and three loops (D, anti-codon, and T loops). Lineage: Eukaryota; Metazoa; Arthropoda; Arachnida; Araneae; Eresidae. The record is from Rfam by way of RNAcentral.
GCCUUCGUUGUGUAACGGUAGCCCACUCGGUUCGUAAUUGAGAGGUCCAAGUUCGAGUCCUGGAGGGCGCA